Butyricicoccus pullicaecorum 1.2 is the source of this 73-nucleotide transfer RNA. It matches the Rfam family "tRNA". From Rfam's summary of the family: Transfer RNA (tRNA) molecules are approximately 80 nucleotides in length. Their secondary structure includes four short double-helical elements and three loops (D, anti-codon, and T loops). Further hydrogen bonds mediate the characteristic L-shaped molecular structure. tRNAs have two regions of fundamental functional importance: the anti-codon, which is responsible for specific mRNA codon recognition, and the 3' end, to which the tRNAs corresponding amino acid is attached (by aminoacyl-tRNA synthetases). tRNAs cope with the degeneracy of the genetic code in two manners: having more than one tRNA (with a specific anti-codon) for a particular amino acid; and 'wobble' base-pairing, i.e. permitting non-standard base-pairing at the 3rd anti-codon position. Lineage: Bacteria; Bacillati; Bacillota; Clostridia; Eubacteriales; Butyricicoccaceae. The record is from Rfam.
GCACCAUUAGCUCAGUUGGUAGAGCAACUGACUCUUAAUCAGUGGGUCCUGGGUUCGAGUCCCCGAUGGUGCA